This 1431-nucleotide ribosomal RNA is filed under the name uncultured organism. Its description in RNAcentral is "16S ribosomal RNA". It matches the Rfam family "Bacterial small subunit ribosomal RNA". The record is from RNAcentral.
CUUAACACAUGCAAGUCGAGGGGCAGCAUUUCAGUUUGCUUGCAAACUGGAGAUGGCGACCGGCGCACGGGUGAGUAACACGUAUCCAACCUGCCGAUAACUCGGGGAUAGCCUUUCGAAAGAAAGAUUAAUACCCGAUGGUAUAAUCAGACCGCAUGGUCUUGUUAUUAAAGAAUUUCGGUUAUCGAUGGGGAUGCGUUCCAUUAGGCAGUUGGUGAGGUAACGGCUCACCAAACCUUCGAUGGAUAGGGGUUCUGAGAGGAAGGUCCCCCACAUUGGAACUGAGACACGGUCCAAGCUCCUACGGGAGGCAGCAGUGAGGAAUAUUGGUCAAUGGGCGCAGGCCUGAACCAGCCAAGUAGCGUGAAGGAUGACUGCCCUAUGGGUUGUAAACUUCUUUUAUAUGGGAAUAAAGUUUUCCACGUGUGGAAUUUUGUAUGUACCAUAUGAAUAAGGAUCGGCUAACUCCGUGCCAGCAGCCGCGGUAAUACGGAGGAUCCGAGCGUUAUCCGGAUUUAUUGGGUUUAAAGGGAGCGUAGGUGGACAGUUAAGUCAGUUGUGAAAGUUUGCGGCUCAACCGUAAAAUUGCAGUUGAUACUGGCUGUCUUGAGUACAGUAGAGGUGGGCGGAAUUCGUGGUGUAGCGGUGAAAUGCUUAGAUAUCACGAAGAACUCCGAUUGCGAAGGCAGCUCACUGGACUGCAACUGACACUGAUGCUCGAAAGUGUGGGUAUCAAACAGGAUUAGAUACCCUGGUAGUCCACACAGUAAACGAUGAAUACUCGCUGUUUGCGAUAUACAGUAAGCGGCCAAGCGAAAGCAUUAAGUAUUCCACCUGGGGAGUACGCCGGCAACGGUGAAACUCAAAGGAAUUGACGGGGGCCCGCACAAGCGGAGGAACAUGUGGUUUAAUUCGAUGAUACGCGAGGAACCUUACCCGGGCUUAAAUUGCAUUUGAAUAUAUUGGAAACAGUAUAGCCGUAAGGCAAAUGUGAAGGUGCUGCAUGGUUGUCGUCAGCUCGUGCCGUGAGGUGUCGGCUUAAGUGCCAUAACGAGCGCAACCCUUAUCUUUAGUUACUAACAGGUCAUGCUGAGGACUCUAGAGAGACUGCCGUCGUAAGAUGUGAGGAAGGUGGGGAUGACGUCAAAUCAGCACGGCCCUUACGUCCGGGGCUACACACGUGUUACAAUGGGGGGUACAGAAGGCAGCUACCUGGUGACAGGAUGCUAAUCCCAAAAGCCUCUCUCAGUUCGGAUCGAAGUCUGCAACCCGACUUCGUGAAGCUGGAUUCGCUAGUAAUCGCGCAUCAGCCAUGGCGCGGUGAAUACGUUCCCGGGCCUUGUACACACCGCCCGUCAAGCCAUGAAAGCCGGGGGUACCUGAAGUACGUAACCGCAAGGAGCGUCCUAGGGUAAAACUGGUAAUUGGGGC